RNAcentral lists this ribosomal RNA (395 nucleotides) under uncultured bacterium. Its description in RNAcentral is "bacterial SSU rRNA". It matches the Rfam family "Bacterial small subunit ribosomal RNA", at positions 28 to 428 of the family's 1533-position model. The record is from RNAcentral.
GACGAACGCUGGCGGCGUGCUUAACACAUGCAAGUCGAGCGGUAAGGCCCUUUCGGGGGUACACGAGCGGCGAACGGGUGAGUAACGCGUGGGUGACCUGCCCUCAGCUCUGGGAUAAGCCUGGGAAACCGGGUCUAAUACCGGAUAUGACUCCAUGACGCAUGUUGUGGGGUGGAAAGCCUUGUGCGGCUGAGGAUGGGCCCGCGGCCUAUCAGCUUGUUGGUGGGGUGAUGGCCUACCAAGGCGACGACGGGUAGCCGGCCUGAGAGGGCGACCGGCCACACUGGGACUGAGACACGGCCCAGACUCCUACGGGAGGCAGCAGUGGGGAAUCUUGCGCAAUGGGCGAAAGCCUGACGCAGCGACGCCGCGUGAGGGAUGACGGCCUGGUGUAA